AGAAAAUUGUGAAGAAGAUGAGGUAAUCUAGUCAUUAUUUCUUCUUUAAAGUAACAGUGCCGAGUGUUGUUCUGUUUGAGUUAGACGAGAAACAGAAAUAUAGCAAAAUGCCCCGAGAACUCACAGAAAUCAAAGAAUUUCUCUUGACAGCCCGAAGGAAAGAUGCCAAAUGUAA
Leptinotarsa decemlineata (Colorado potato beetle) is the source of this 175-nucleotide long non-coding RNA. The record is from RefSeq and is a predicted model, not a curated record. NCBI's taxonomy places the organism in Eukaryota, Metazoa, Arthropoda, Insecta, Coleoptera, Chrysomelidae.